This 441-nucleotide ribosomal RNA is filed under the name uncultured bacterium. RNAcentral's name for it is "partial 16S ribosomal RNA". It matches the Rfam family "Bacterial small subunit ribosomal RNA", at positions 338 to 795 of the family's 1533-position model. The record is from RNAcentral.
CCUACGGGUGGCUGCAGUCGGGAAUAUUGCGCAAUGGAGGAAACCCUGAUGCAGUGACGCCGCGUGCGGGAAGGAGGUUUUCGGAGUGUAAACUGCUUUAGACAGGGAAGAAAAAAGACGGUACCUGUACAAUAAGCCCCGGCUAACUACGUGCCAGCAGCCGCGGUAAUACGUAGGGGGCAAGCGUUAUCCGGAUUUACUGGGUGUAAAGGGUGCGUAGACGGAGAAGCAAGUUAGUUGUGGAAUCCCGCGGCUUAACUGAGGAACUGCAACUAAAACUAUUUUCCUGGAGUACUGGAGAGGAAAGUGGAAUGCCUGGUGUAGCGGUGAAAUGCGUAGAUAUUAGGAGGAACACCAGUGGCGAAGGCGACUUUCUGGACAGUAACUGACGUUGAGGCACGAAAGUGUGGGGAGCGAACAGGAUUAGAUACCCUUGUAGUC